GAGGGGCAAGCAUCGAUCAAGCCUGUAGAACCAUAUUCCCGGUCGAUCGUGAUUAGUGCUUGUGGAAAUUUUGGGAGGAGUCAUGCACAACAAGCUCGAGACAGAAGAAACACUCGUAGCUACCAUGCUUACUAAACGCUGCGUGACGGACAAUGACGGGGAGAGGAUCGAAGAGACGGGGUCGACCCCCGAAAUCGGUGGUCAUGGAAAGACCAAAAAAGUUUCAAUAUCAUCUUAUGAAGAAACCAAAAUAUUUGCAAAACAAGGGUUCGGAAACGCCAAAUUCACAACCAAGUACACCGACACCUUCGAGACCAUCAUCGCCAGUCGAAAGCGAAGAAAGCAGACGAAGUACACGAAUUCGAAAAUCUCGAGGACCCAGAGACAGACAUUCGCGCAAAGGUGGUCACUCGAGUUCAGGUGCAUAUCAACGCCGAGGUUACAAUCCAAAUGUUGAUUAUCAUGAUUCUGAAUAUCAUUAUGGGUCGGACUUUGGAGAUGAAUCUAGUGAAAAAAGUGAAGUUGAAGAGGAUCUCUUGCAAAGCGAUGUAGAUUCAUCUGAAAGUAUAGAAGAACCUGAUCCUUCCAGUGACAGUGAUUUUUCCCUCUCCAGUUAUAGCACUACUAGUGGCACACCCCGUAAAACACUUCUUAGUCAGCAAAGACCACCAAGUCCAGAACCAUUAUGGCUUCAAAAUAAAGAAUUGCCACCAUUAAAUCUACCUAAAUCAUCCGAUGAUUUAUUAGUUCCCAGAGAACUUGUUAUGCCAUGUUUAUCCAUUUAUGAAGUAUUGAGACACUUUCGCACUUUAGUACGUCUUUCAGCCUUUAGAUUUGAAGAUUUUUGUGCUGCACUUAUGUGUGAAGAUCAAACCAAUUUGUUGGCUGAAAUACAUAUUAUGCUUAUUAAAGCACUUCUUAGAGAAGAAGAUUCUCAACAAACACAUUUUGGUCCUUUAGACCAAAAAGACUCUGUGAAUGUUAGCUUAUAUUUUGUGGAUUCUAUGACUUGGUCAGAAGCUUUACGUUCUUAUGUAGAAAGUGACAAAUCAUUUGAUCAAAAUAUUUUACAUAUUUUAUCAACAUGUGAAUAUCCUUUUACUUCUGUAGAAGAUAGAAUCAAGGUGCUACAAUUUUUGACAGAUCAAUUUUUAAUUACAAAUCCAGUAAGAGAAGACCUACUGCACGAAGGUAUAUUAAAUGGAAAUAUGCAUUAUGAUGAUCACUGUAGAGUAUGUCAUCGAUUGGGAGAUUUAUUAUGUUGUGAAACAUGUCCAGCAGUUUUUCAUUUAGAAUGUGUUGAACCUCCAUUAGUUGAUGUUCCUACUGAAGACUGGCAAUGUAGUACAUGCAAAGCUCACAAAGUUACAGGAGUUGCUGAUUGUAUACCUGAUGUUGAGAAAAAUGGUUCUCUUUGUCGUCAAGAACAUUUAGGAUUUGAUAGACAUGGCAAAAAAUAUUGGUUUCUUGCAAGAAGAAUUUUUGUUGAAAGUGAAGAUGGUGAAGUUUGGUAUUAUAGUACAGCUUUACAAUUAGAAGAGUUAAUGCUUUGUUUAGAUCGUAAUGAAAUGGAAGUUGCACUUUAUCGAGAAUUAUCAGAUUAUAAAGAUGAAAUUGUAAGACAAAUGGAACUUACAGAACAAAUUACGAAUCAAUACAAGGGUAAUAAAAAGUCAUAUCUAGAAAUCGAAAACAGUCUUAUACAAAAAUUACAAAAAGAACGUCAAGAAAAACAAGAAAAAGAAGAAGAAGAAAAAAAAGAGAAACAAAGACAAGAAGCUGAAGAAAUGGUACGCAGAAUACAUGAAGGUACAGAUUCUCUUGAAGAACAAUUAUCAGCAGUCACUGAACAACAGGAAAUAAAGACAUCUGAAGAUUCAAAUACGAAAGAAAAUACUCAAAAAAUAAUUCCAGAAAAUGUAGAAAUAGAUAGUGUAGAUACUAAUUUAACAGAUGGGGUAAAUAAAGAAGUCAAAGCUUGUACAUCAUCAUCAUCAUCUGAAGAAAUUGAUGAAGAGAUACUUGAAGGGGACGAAAGUAUCUCAAAAAUUGGUAGAGAUGGGAAAAAACACACUAUUGUAACUAGAUCAAAAACAGGAUCAUUACAACCUAGGACAUUUAAUAUGGAUGAUCUAAAAAAACGUAGUACUGGACAGCUCUCAAAAGAAGAGUUAGAAAAAUUAGAUAAAGGUUUAAAAGAAGAAGGAGAUAGUACUAGAUUAACAAGACAAAAAGCUCAUCAAAUAGCUUCUGGUACGCAUUUAUUUAAAUUGGGAAUGGAUAACAACUUUAAAUCAUAUGUGAAUCAGUACAGUACUAAUCCUAUUGCUUUGAAUAAGGCCCAACGAAACGAAGAACGUGACAAAAAGAGACAUUUAUCACAUAAAUUUUCACUUACACAGGCUUCUGAAUUUAAAUGGGUAGGAAGUUUGACAGGAACUCGUGCUCUUUUAGUAAGCACACUUCGUCAAACAAUUCUUCAACUUGAAAGCAGCAUUCAAUCUUCAUUUAUGCAUACUAAUUGGCCUCUUUUACGUAAACCUUGGACUACAGCAGUAGGUGCUUGUGUUAAUCCAAGAGAUUUUGCUCGUGCACUUAUUGUAUUACAAGCAUGUAUUAAAUCAGUAGUAUUCGCUAGUGUAUGGCAUGAUCAACUUGGUCAUGUAAAAUUACAAAGGGUAACGGCUCUCGAACGAGAAGAAAAGAAACGUCAAGAUAAAAAAGAUAAAAAAGAAAGAGAAGAUGAGGAAGAACGUAAUCGAUUAUUUAAUUUUGUUAAAUAUACAUUAGGCUUGAAGCAUCAAGUUUGGAAACAAAAGGGAGAAGAAUAUCGAGUACAUGGACAAGGUGGUUGGCUUUGGGUAUCUGCCAGUCGCCGCUAUAGAUAUUCUGAUAUGUCAAAAUUAGGUCUUCGAAUAGGUCCACAGAAAAUUAUGGUACAAAUUAAAGAUCAAGAAGGAUUAAAAAUUUUAGCUUUAGAUCCUCCCACAUAUGACUUUUUGAUAAAGGAAUACUGUUCUUCUAAAAAAGAAGAGAAUAAUAUGAACAUAAAAAUAAAAGAAGAAAUUAAAGAAGAAGAAAUAUCAAAGGAUACAUUAACUGAUGCAUGUAUAAAACAAGAAUGUAAAGAAGAAGACAUAAAAAAAGAAUCAGUUGAAGAUAAACAAAAUAAAACAGAAAUAGAUAUGAAAACUGAAGAAACAAUAACAAAAACAGAAUCACAAUCAAUUAAGCAAGAAACAAAAAUGAAUUUAUCAUUUUUAGCUGGUAUGAAAAUCAAGAAAGUUUAUACACCUAUAAAAGAAUUUGAAGAAAUUGAUAUUACUAAGGCAUUAACAACUAAUGGAAGACUUCAUUAUCCAAAAAUUGCUAAAAAAACUAGAAUUGAUGAUUUCCUGGCACGUAGAACACAUUUAAAACUUUUAGAAGAAAGAAGAUUACUACAGACUGAAAAAUCAAAAGAAUUAUUAAAUCAAUCAACGAAUCAAAAAGAUGGAGAUUCUGAAGUCGAUAUAGAAAAUAAUGAAGAAAGUGAUACAGAUGGAGGUGAUAAUUCUUUACAAAAUAUUCUUACUGGAAAGCAGCCUAAAACUAUAUCUACAUCAGCUAGAGAAAUGUUAAAUGUAAUAGGAAAAAGAAUUCAACAUGUUAAAGCUCAAUAUGCAAGCAUAAUGAGAUUAAAUAAAAAUGGUAGUUGUUAUUCACGAUAUUGUAAUAUGACAACACUUCCGGGAAAGAUUACAACUACAACACAAAGUUUAACAUCUACUUGUUAUUCUCCUAUAUGUCUUCAAAAAGCAAGAUUAAAACUUGAUCUUAUUGCAUUGUUAAGAAAAGCUAAUGCUUUAAAUAAUAAUCAAUCAUUGAAUUUAUCAAUUGGAGCAAAUACAAUGCAAUUAUCACAAGCAAAUUCAAAAAUAGAAGGAAGUGAUGCUAAAGAUGCAAUUAGAAAAGAUUUAGAAUCUGCAGUAGCAUCCGCAACUCAUUGUACUGAAGAAACACCAGCUACAAAUGUAGUAAAAGAUAUUUCACCUCCUAUCAAAAAAAUAAAAGUUGAAUCUAACACGACUUCUACUAAUGAUACCAGUUCAGGAUACAUUGAUGUAGUAACUACUACAAAUAACAUAGUUACUACAACAACUGUAACUACAACACAACAAACUAUAAAAACAAUCGAUGGUAUUGUACAAAGUAUGCAGGAAAGUACAAGUUCUCAAAAUUCAGUUACAUUUUCAUCUGAAGUUAAAACAAGUGUAGGGCAAAAGACAAUGAUUGUUAAUCGAAGAGGAAGAACAGUGCAAAGAAGUACAAUGGCUAAAGAAUUAAAUGCUGAUGGCACAGAAAGAAUAUACUCUACUACAUCAACUGAAGGAAAAGUUUAUUUGAAAAAAGUUGCAAUUUCUUUGGCUGAUAGAAAAAAGAAACGUACUCCAGUUAAAUAUCCCUUAUGUUCAACAUUUUGUACCAAAAAUAAACAUCGUAGUAUAUUGGUACUUCCACAACAUGAAUUGCGUAAAUUAGCUAGAGUUGGUGGUCGAAUACAAGUUUUAGGUUUUCAUCAGAUGGCUAAGGCAAAUAUGUCAGUAUGGCCAUAUCCUUGUCCUAGACCAUUAUUUAAAACUUGUUGGUUAUACAGAACAGUUGGUAUAAAAUCAUUGGCUGCAGCAGCUCUUCAAUUAAGAAUAUUAUGGGCAUGUCUUCGUUGGGAUGAUAUGGCUGCAAAACCAUUAUCUACAGAUGGCAAACAUCAAAUUACAACUGAUACGGAAAUUAUGUCAUUGGAAAUUCUUAAACAUCGUCAUGUCGGUCAAUUUUUAGACAAGACACAAUACUUACGAAGAAAAGUUGUUAUACCUUUAGAACUUCCAAAACAAGUCAGAGAAGUUACAUCUAUAAGAAGUGGUUUAAGAAAAAGAAAACGGCCAGAAUCACCACAAAGUACUGAACCGCAAGUUACGGAAGAAUGGGUUGAUGAAGAUAAAUUAGAAUUAUGGGAAAUUAAACAAUAUGGUGAUAGGUUAGAGAAGGCUAAUGCCCAGAUUAUUACUAGGAGUCGAUCGGGACAGCCACAAUCAACAGUUGGUUCUAACCGAAAUGCAGGAUCAAAUUCUGGUAUAAAUGAUCAACUUGUUAGUGGUAAAGCAACACCUGAAGAAAUUAAAGAGAAAAUGGAACAACAAUUACGUAUGCAAAGAGCUGCUCAUCAACAAAAAAGAGCAUUAGAAACUUUAAAAAGUCCAGCUAGUUCUGGUUCACCUACACAAGUUGUAAAAGUUACAGCUAAUUCUGCUCAUGAUGGUACAGUUAAAUUAGUUUCCAAAGUUGCGAUACCAGCAAAUCCAAAUAGUGGAACAAAAUCACAGUUAACUUCUCUUUUGACGACACCUACGCAAAAUAAACCUUUUAUUAGUACAAAACGUAUUUAUAUGGCAAAAUCAUCUCUUGGAACAACAAAAGUUGUUUCCGGACCUACAAGUAUUUUACCAAAAACACAACUGCAAUCUGGAGGUCAACAAUCUUUAAUUAAAGUUUCUGGUCAAGCAGGACCUAUACAACAAAUUCAACAAAGAGUACAGAUUAUAAGAGGACCAGAUGGAAAACUUCAAGUUCGAGGUUUGAUGCCUGGUCAGCAAUUAGUUCAAAUGCCUGAUGGAAAACUUCAUGUGUUAAAUAAUAGUCAAGCGAUUACUACUCUUGCACAAACUGGAACAACUACACAAACAAAAACAGCUACAACAACAACUGCAGCUAAAGUUACUACAACAGCUAAUUGUACUACUAAAACUAGUCCAUCUAAAACAUCAACAAAUAUAACGCAACAAGUACAAGCUCAGCAAUCACAAGCUCAAUCACAAGCAAUUCAGCGUUCGUCUGGAACUGCCUCAGGAACAGUAACUAUUGCUACUACACCAGCACAACCUACAAAAAAUGCUAUUGUAGUAGCUAAUACUGGACAAAUUGUACAAAGUGCACAAGUAAUAUCAACUGGUGGUCAAGUUAUUAGUGGAAAUCAAAUAGUAGUUACUAAUGCUAAUUUAGCUCAACAACUUGCAAGCGGUAAAGCUCAAUUAACAACAAUUGGUGGUCAUCAAGUAGUUAUUCGUAGUACUCCAACAGGCAAUCAAAUUGUUCAUUUAAAUUCGACAAAUAGUGGUAUUAUUGUAAAAAAUACUGUUACACCAACAAAACAAGUUCCUGUAUUGCAAUCUACUCAAUCAACAGCAACAACAAUAGGAGCACAAUCAAAUGAUACAACAAACAAUAGUAUUAGUAAUAAUACAUCGACAAAUGUGACAUCAUCUACUAUCACAACUGCAACAAAUCAAACAUCCAAUACUCCAGCACCUGGAAGUGUAGAAGCAUCUUUAUUAGCUGGUCAACCACCUGGAACUGUUAUUAAAUGUGUUACUGCUCAAGUUAUACAAACUACUCAAGGUCCUCGUAUAGUAUUACAAGGUUUACAAGGUGCUGAUUUUACUCCUCAACAACUUAUAAUGGUACAACAACAAGUAAAACAACAAUUGCUUAAAGCCCAAGCUACAACAGGCAAACAAGGAGUAUUAGGACCUACCAAAAUUUAUUUAGCUGUUCAACCUGCACCUAAUAGUCAACAAUCAAUUCAGAGUUCUCAAAGUUCUACAACAGCAAAUACUCCCGCUACACCAGCAACAAAACCACAAAUUGCACAACAACCAGUUGUUUCUCCACCAGCAGCAACUGAACCUCAAACGGGAAAUGAAAGCAUUCCAGAACUUCCAUCAACAGCAACAUCAAGUUCUCCUGAAAAACCGAAAGUAGUUGUUCAACAAGUUGCUCAACCUAAUGUGACUACAGAAGAGGAAUCGCAAAAAACAAAUGUAGCUAAUGGUCAGCAACCUUUGCAAUCUUUAAAAGAAGGAAACGAUUCUUCGGCUAAUAAAUUUAUUUUAACACCUGAUUAUAUACAACAAACUAUUAAGAAUGCAUUGAAACAAGAAAAUCUUAAUCCGGAAAUAGAAGAAAAAUUAUUGCAAUUGCAACGAUAUCAAGAGAAACAAAUGAAAGGUGGUGUUGAAAAUUCAGCAACUAAUAAUCAAACUCAUACCACACCUACAAUUACAACUCCGCGUAUGCCAUCUCGUAAAAGACCGGCACCCUCUAACAUUCCAACAACAACCUCAUCUACAAAUGUACAAUCAGCAACAAACGAUAAAGAUACUGAUUGGACAGAAACACCCAGAAAAAAACCAACAUUAAAACAAGAAAGUCGUGAAACUCCAAAAGUACAAAAAAUGGAAGCAAUAGAGAAUGAAUCAACUCCACAAAAACGAGCAGCAAAGCCAAAAGACACUCAAGAGCAACGGAGAAAACAACAAGUCCAUUCUCGAAUGCAAGUCUUAUUAUUUAGACAUAAAGAACUACUUAAAAAAGAUAUUUUAAAAAAAAGAGCAUUACUUGAAAAAGAAUUACAAAUAGAUAUUCAGAAAGAUUUAUCGGCGGAAUUAGCUUCAAGAACAAAAGCAGAAAGACACAAACAGGAUGAAGUAAAAGUAGGAAGUGCAAAACGUAAAGCAAACGCUCAAAUGGCUCAACAAGUUAGUCCACCUAAUAGAGGUGGAAGGCCAAAGAAAUAUAAGGCUCAAGGAAGUAACACUACACCACCAGGAGCUUCAACAGCACCUACUACGAACAGAAUCAAAAAAGAAAAAUUAUAUUGUUUAUGUAGAACACCAUAUGAUGAAACAAAAUUUUAUGUGGGAUGCGAUCUCUGUAACAAUUGGUUUCAUGGAGAUUGCGUUGGAAUCACAGAAGAAAUGUGUAAAACUCUUUCAGAGUUUGUUUGUACAGAAUGUAGACAUGCAAGAGAUACACAAGAGCUAUAUUGUCUAUGUAAACAGCCUUAUGAUGAAUCUCAAUUUUAUAUUUGCUGCGAUAAAUGUCAAGAUUGGUUCCAUGGUCGAUGCGUGGGUAUUUUACAGUCGGAAGCAGACAAUAUUGAUGAAUAUGUUUGUCCGAAUUGUCAACGAAAUUCUUCUGUUAAUUUUGCUAAUAUGAAAAAUCUUAAUGCAAAAGAUCUUGAUCUUCUUAAGAAAUUAAUUAAACAAAUACAGGCGCACAAAAGUGCUUGGCCAUUUAUGGAACCAGUAGAUCCAAAUGAAGCACCAGACUACUAUAAAGUUAUAAAGGAACCGAUGGAUUUACAAACGAUAGAAUUGAGGAUAAAUGAUAGAUCUUACAAGAAAUUAAGUGAAUUUAUUGGCGACAUGACAAAAAUAUUUGAUAAUUGUCGUUAUUAUAAUCCGAAAGAAUCACCUUUCUUUAAGUGUGCAGAAUCCUUAGAAACUUAUUUUGUUCACAAGAUUAAAAGUUUAAGAGAAAAGUUUUCUGAAGGAAAGUAAGCAAUCAAAAAAAGAAAAAAAAAAGAAAACUGUAACUAUAAACGAGUGGAAGUGCUAAGCAUCAAUGGUUAAUUUGUGCAACAACAGAAAUGAUCUGUGCCAGUAGAAAAGAGACAUUCAAAUUAGCCAUAAGAUAUGAAAAGGCAAUAUUAUUUCAUGGACAUCUAAGGAACAAAAAUAAUAUAUAUACAUAUAUAUAUACGUAUAUACAUACAUACAUACUCAUAUGAAAAGAAGCAAAGAAAAGCCUAGCUUCUAAUUUUCACUAAUAAAUUACAAGAGUGAAAGUACAUAGUAAAUAUUUAAUUCAUAAAGAAGAAUCUGAGAAUUUCUAGGAAUAUAAAUUACACACAGAUUUAUUCUGUAAAGGUCUAAGAAAUACUUCCUUAAGGAAAUCUGUUCUCUGAUGUUAAGAACUGUUUCGUGUAUGUACAUUAACAUGUGUGUUUCACGAACUCAAGAUGCGUCUUAACGAUGGUCAAUCAUUUAUUUAAGUGAAAAAAGCAGGUUGUACAUUUUUGCCAGGAUGAUGCUUGUACAGUAUUUUUAAUUCAAAGUUCAUAAAACCUGGCACUGAUCUGUUUUUUACCUUCGACUUUCGAUUAUAGUUACAGAAUACAUAUAAUUACUUUGCCCAGAUUUAUACACCGCAUUAGCUUUAUCGUAAGCUCAAGUGGUCGUGUCAUAUGCGUCUCGUUUAUCGAAGCUUUAUUUUAUCUCUAUUGUAAUGUAUUUUACAAAUGUCUUCAAUAUAUAUCGAUAUAAUAUCUAUAAUUAUUAAAAUGUUAAAUUUUUAUUUUUUUACGCUUAAUUCUUUGCUGUAUUCUGUGUUUAAACUGAUAGCGUUCCUCGAAGUUGUGUGUCUCUAAGUUUAUUUGAUCUAUAUAUCGCAAAGAGUUAAGCGAACAUUUUAAAGAGAAUUUUAUUUUGAAAAUUAUGCCUCGAUAGAUUUACUCUUUGAGAUUUAGUAUAUCUUUGAAAUUCUUCUAUUUUGCCUUUGGACAUUAUUUGGCUCGUAAGGAUUUAUGAAUAAAGAUUAAUAAUAAGUAUUAAUAUAUAAGUAUUCACAGUAAUAAAUACGAGCGCUAAUUGGAAAUAAUAACGUAUUAGCUUUAUUUUUUGAGGCAAAUAGGAGAAUUAAAUUGUUUCUCAAAGAGUUAAUCCUUAUAUUUUUUACGAGAUGCAUGUGAACUUACAAAGUCGUUGAUACUCUUAAAAUUUUUGAUGCGUUAAGAAAACAAAUUUAGCUAAACUCGUUCUGUCGAGUAUUCUUUUCUUACAUAGAAGCGACAUUUGAAGAUGUACUGAAAUAAAAAUUUUUCUGUAAAAAA
This is an RNA transcript of Apis mellifera (honey bee), 9709 nucleotides long. It is a transcript of the gene named nucleosome-remodeling factor subunit NURF301, with no coding region annotated. Lineage: Eukaryota; Metazoa; Arthropoda; Insecta; Hymenoptera; Apidae. The transcript has 29 exons. The record is from RefSeq and is a predicted model, not a curated record.